AUAUCUAGGUAUAAAUGUGUGUGAGAUUUGUGUGUGCAUGUAUGUAUUUAUGUUUAUACUAUCCUUUGUCUAUAUUUUUCAUUUGUUUUCAUACAACUAACAAUCUUCUUUAUUUUUCUCUCUUGAAACUCACUUGGAGCAAAGGCCAAGACAUUUAUUUAACCAAUACUUAAUGGAUGCCAAUGCUUCCCGAAGCUGCUAGGCUGCCUUGCAGGCCAAUAUUUUAUGUCAAGACGAACUAUUUAUAUUCAAAUGAUGAGCCAAUCAUAUAUUGAAAGAUUAUGGAAUAUUUUUAUUCUUUAUUUAAUUCAUAAAUCAAAGUAAUUGAAAGCAAAAUGAAAUGGGAAAUGUCUCCCACAUUUUAAAAGUACAUGAAAAGUACAAGCUGUUUUAUCAGCAAGAGGUGUUGCAAUGAAAUAGCAAGCCCCAAAUUUUAAAGGUAUGAGAAAAAGUACAGGUUGCUUUGUUUACAAGGGGUGUUGCAAUGGAACAAUGAGUCACAUAUUUUAAAAGUACAAAAAAAAGUACAGCUGCUUUGUUAGCAAGAGGUGUUGCAACAAACAGUGAGUCCCACAUGUGAAAAGUACAAGAAAAAAGUGCAAGCUCCCACAUUUUAAAAGUACAGGCUGGUCAUUAUUAGCAAGAUGUAUUGCAAUGAGCAGUGUGUCCCACAUUUUGAAAGUACAAGAAAAAGUACAAGCUCCCACAUUUUAAAAGUACAAGAAAAAGUACAAGCACCCACAUUUUAAAAGUACAAGAAAAAGUACAAGCACCCACAUUUUAAAAGUACAAGAAAAAGUACAAGCACCCACAUUUUAAAAGUACAAGAAAAAUACAAGCUGUUCAUUAGCAGGAAGUGUUGCAAAAACAGCAAGUCCCACAUUUUAAAAGUACAAGAAAAAGUACAAGCACCCACAUUUUAAAAGUACAAGAAAAAGUACAAGCUCCCACGUUUUUAAAGUACAAGCUGUUCAUUAGCAGGGGGUGUUGCAAAAACAGCGAGUCCCACAUUUUAAAAGUACAAGCUCUCACAUUUUAAAAGUACAAGGAAAAGUACAAGCUGCUUCAUUAGCAGAAAGUGUUGCAAUGGACAGCAUUUUUUUUUAUGUUGAACAAAAUUUUUAAAAUGAAACUAAACAGUUCCCAUGGCCAAAUUCUCUCCAGGAGUUUUGAACUUGAAGUCAAUUUGUGUUAAUGCCUUUCUGCUACUUCAAGUAUAAUCGCAUGCUACAUUGAAUUUCAUUGGAGUAACCACGACAUCGAUGAGAAAAUUGGAAAAGAAAAAAAAAAACAAUGAACAAAAAAAAAA
Long non-coding RNA from Octopus sinensis (East Asian common octopus), 1309 nucleotides. RefSeq lists it as uncharacterized. The record is from RefSeq and is a predicted model, not a curated record. Lineage: Eukaryota; Metazoa; Mollusca; Cephalopoda; Octopoda; Octopodidae. The transcript is spliced from 2 exons.